AUGCAAAACAUGGAAUUGAACGGCAACGAGCUCAUUUCCCGGUUCAAGAAGUCGAAUCGCUUGGACCGUAAAGACAUGAUUAUGUUCCCAGUUUUAGAGAACAUUGACAAGACAAAGCCUAAAACAGGCAAUCAUUACUGGAUUUUUAACGUGAACAUAAGGGAUCGACGUUUCGAAGCUCUUGAUUCUUGGAGGACGCUAAAAAACAAGUCUUUAGAUGUUUGCGCAAGGAAAAUGGUUGCAAGUUUUCGGUCUCUAUGGGAAGAGCAUUAUGCCAGUUCCCGUGUCUCGCUGGAUGACUUUGGGCUUACCAACAUCGAUGUUCCAAAACAGAACAAUGAGUAA
Molecule: ribosomal RNA, 345 nt
Filed under: Triticum aestivum (bread wheat)
Lineage: Eukaryota; Viridiplantae; Streptophyta; Magnoliopsida; Poales; Poaceae
Description: partial small subunit ribosomal RNA
Source: RNAcentral